RNAcentral lists this transfer RNA (73 nucleotides) under Bos taurus (domestic cattle). It matches the Rfam family "tRNA". From Rfam's summary of the family: Transfer RNA (tRNA) molecules are approximately 80 nucleotides in length. Their secondary structure includes four short double-helical elements and three loops (D, anti-codon, and T loops). Lineage: Eukaryota; Metazoa; Chordata; Mammalia; Artiodactyla; Bovidae. The record is from Rfam by way of RNAcentral. RNAcentral also lists the same sequence under 3 other names.
UUCCUGGUGGUCCAGUGGUUAAGACGCUGCACUCCCAGUGCAGGGGGCCUGGGUUCAAUCCCUGGUCAGGGAA